This 393-nucleotide ribosomal RNA is filed under the name Anopheles dravidicus. RNAcentral's name for it is "eukaryotic LSU rRNA". It matches the Rfam family "Eukaryotic large subunit ribosomal RNA", at positions 646 to 964 of the family's 3401-position model. The record is from RNAcentral. Lineage: Eukaryota; Metazoa; Arthropoda; Insecta; Diptera; Culicidae.
GACCCGUCUUGAAACACGGACCAAGAAGUCUAUCUUGCGCGCAAGCCAAUGGGUGUCGCGCGGUGCCACCGUGCACUGCGCACACGUGUAAACCCCAAAGGCGUAGACAACUCGAACAAGUUUGUACGGGGAUUACGGGCUCGGCACUGGCGCAAGCCUUCGUCGGGCCCCUCCAUCCCGGGGUGUCCCACCGAGCGGGCCUCCGGGUCCGCUGUGGGCAUCCCUCGAGUGCGUAGGAUGCGACCCGAAAGAUGGUGAACUAUGCCUGAUCAGGCCGAAGUCAGGGGAAACCCUGAUGGAGGGCCGAAGCAAUUCUGACGUGCAAAUCGAUUGUCAGAGUUGGGCAUAGGGGCGAAAGACCAAUCGAACCAUCUAGUAGCUGGUUCCUUCCGA